UUCCACCCAAGCCAAAUCCUGACAGCAGAUUUGUAGAUUCUUCGAAGAUUCCUGUUGAAGGGAAAAUUAACAAUCUCCUCCCCAGGUGACCUGAAUGUGUGUUCUUCUAAUUACUUACCCUCAGACAACUCCGAAUUGUCAACAGCACGGUUGACCAAGUUUAAAGCUGAUGUAGCUAGGUUCAUUAACCGCUCGUCCCUGCCCUUGUCAGCUAGCUCAUCAAUAUAAUUGGAGACAACUUGGUUGGAUGCAAGUAGCCUAAGCAACACACCUCCGAGGCCUCGUGUGCCUGCAACACCUAACACAUCGGUUAUAAGUGUUUCAAAAUUAGGUUCCCUUAUCUUUUUCAUGUCCAGCGAUGAACAAAUAAGAUUACUAUAAGUAAAGAAUUCAUAUGGAGGCUCACGUUCAAUGUCUUCUUUUGCCCUUUGCUGAAUUGCCGUUAGUUCAUCUGACAGAGUAUGUCCCUGCGAACCUCGACAGACAAACCUUCCUUCUGGUGACAUUCCUUCAUUGUGGUCAGCCCUGGAAAGCACAUUGCUGCUGCUGCCUCCUUGCCACCCACUGCCCCUUAACUGAACUCUGGCCUUCAUCAGGUUCAUACUACGUGGGGCUCGCACUGGCAGCAACAAAUUGGGAAUGCACGCACAAAUUAGAAAAAUGUUUAAGGUUUUUAGUUUUUCGGACAGUUCAAAGAUUUAUUUAUGCUCAUACCAACCUGGGAUCGGUACAUUCUCCAGAGCACCUGAUAUACGAAUGCUACCGGGGGGUUCGUCUGAAUUGGUUCACCUGCAAUUCGAGCAAGUCGGAGUUCAGUCCACACAUUUUUUGUAUGCUUAGUUCAUUCUUGUACUAAAAAUCAAACCUCUGUUUUUAGCCCGUUGUAGUCUUCUAGCAGCUCGUUCGUGUGGGUGUAUGAAGUCGCCAUCACUGUCGCUACCAGAUGAAUCACUUUCUUCAUCCAUUUUCUCUUUUUCUUUGCGUCUAGCCUGCUCACCAGAGUAUUCAUUGUCUGUAUUUUUUGCAAUAUCUUCUAGUACCUCCUGCAAACCCUCCCUUUGCGCUGCAAUAGCAUACAAGCAAUAAUUUUCAAAAGCUUUCUUGUUGUACUUUAUUAACAUUAAUGUAUUCAAUCCAAAUGGGCUCUUCUUUUUUGUUAGCACAAACUAUUUCAUAAUUUAUUUAGCACAAUUUUUUUCCCUAUAUGAUUGACUCCUGUAUUCCCCUCAUUUGUUUUUUCAGAGAUAACUCGCUCAUAGAUGCUUACAUGGAUUAACCAAUAAGCCGCCCGCCUCUCCAACGAUUGGAUUCCACACCUCAUCUAUGCCAUCCAGGUAGUCCUCCGGUUUUGUAUGCCCAGCCCAGAAGCAUCAUGUCAGCAAAACAACUUAUAUAUAUUGGACACGCGAAAGAACAAAUGAUACUUCAUUCAUACCCUGAAUUGUGUAGGGUAUUCUCUCAGCAAGUAGAUCAGCUUCUUGAUCUUAUCUUCAGUGUACUCGCUGACUCUAGGGAGUUUAUUUGGUUCCACAUUGUCUGCCCCAAAAUCCAGCCAAUCGAACACCCAAGGAUGUGCGAUGUCCAUGUAAUCAUUGGCAAGUUAGUGACAACAAUUGAGGAAACUAAAAUGUUAUAAUAUAUGUUGUAUCAUUUUUUACUUACAAUGAUAGCCAAAUGGCACCUUGGUACUCUCAAUGUUCGUACCCCAGCUGCAAGAUCUUCAGCG
This 1726-nucleotide long non-coding RNA is filed under the name Triticum aestivum (bread wheat). RNAcentral describes it as "long non-coding RNA (TAES_LNC015031)". The record is from RNAcentral. Lineage: Eukaryota; Viridiplantae; Streptophyta; Magnoliopsida; Poales; Poaceae.